AUUAGAAUUUCUCGUAUUGGUUGGUUAACCUUGUCGAGUCAUCGAUUGUGGUUGAAACUCAUCAGAAUCAUUGUUGUGUACUGACACUGGCAUGCAGACUGUGUCACAUGGUGUGAAGGAUGCAAUUGCAAAUAGUUCAUGCAAAGUACAAAGAUAGUUGAUGUUUCACCUGCAGCCAAAAUAAGAUAUCAAGGAGAAUUAUGACCUUUCGAAGUAAAGAAAAUAAAUUAGAGUUAAAGACGACCUCUUGGGAAAAUGAUUCGGUUAUCUUUUAGUCCAAGGUCCAAAAUUAAACACAAAUUAUGACCUUAACAGUUCCUCUCCUCCCUAGUUUCGCCUUUACAUCUCCUGCUCCUUGUCAAUUCGUCCAUCUCUAUAAUAAUCACGCAACCCAUACCCCUGUAUC
Molecule: long non-coding RNA, 406 nt
Filed under: Manihot esculenta (cassava)
Lineage: Eukaryota; Viridiplantae; Streptophyta; Magnoliopsida; Malpighiales; Euphorbiaceae
Description: long non-coding RNA (MESC_LNC002614)
Source: RNAcentral